This 253-nucleotide ribosomal RNA is filed under the name uncultured bacterium. Its description in RNAcentral is "partial 16S ribosomal RNA". It matches the Rfam family "Bacterial small subunit ribosomal RNA", at positions 524 to 776 of the family's 1533-position model. The record is from RNAcentral.
AACGUAGGAGACAAACGUUAUCCGGAGUUACUGGGCGUAAAGGGCGUGUAGGGGGUAGUGUAAGUCUGGCGUGAAAUUUUUCGGCUUAACCGGGAAAGGUCGUCGGAUACUGCACAACUAGAGGACGGUAGAGGCGUGUGGAAUUCCGGGUGUAGUGGUGAAAUGCGUAGAGAUCCGGAGGAACACCAGUGGCGAAGGCGACACGCUGGGCCGUACCUGACACUGAGGCGCGAUAGCAUGGGGAGCAAACAGG